RNAcentral lists this unclassified non-coding RNA (312 nucleotides) under Liparophyllum exaltatum. RNAcentral's name for it is "partial miscellaneous RNA". Lineage: Eukaryota; Viridiplantae; Streptophyta; Magnoliopsida; Asterales; Menyanthaceae. The record is from RNAcentral.
UAARAUAAGACUUAGGUCUUAGUGUAUAUGAGUUUUUGAACUAAAUCAAAAUUCAAUUUAAACAAUUUAAAUAUUUAAAUAAAGGAGCAAUAGUCUCUUUCUUGUUCUAUCAAGAGGGCGUUAUUGCUCCUUUAUUUAUUUAKUAGUAUUUGAUAUUAGUAUUUAACUUCCCUAGUUUUUUUAUUAUUAAAAUAUUAUAAAAUAAUAAAAUAAUAUAAAAUAAUAUUUUUAUAGAUUGGUUCGAUUCUUGUGCUUUCGUUUCACAAUAAUUUUAAUUUUUAUUGAAGUUUUUUUUCUUUUUCUUGGAAWUUU